RNAcentral lists this ribosomal RNA (701 nucleotides) under uncultured Bacteroidota bacterium. Its description in RNAcentral is "bacterial SSU rRNA". It matches the Rfam family "Bacterial small subunit ribosomal RNA", at positions 33 to 746 of the family's 1533-position model. Lineage: Bacteria; Pseudomonadati; Bacteroidota. The record is from RNAcentral.
ACGCUACGGCGGCUACACAUGCAGUCGAGGGGUACAGGAAAGCUUGCUUUCGCUGACGACCGGCGCACGGGUGCGUAACGCGUAUGCAACCUACCUCAUACUGGAGAAUAUCCCCUGGAAACGGGGAUUAAUACUCCAUGGUAUCAUUCUUUCGCAUGUUAGAAUGAUUAAAGAAUUUCGGUAUGAGAUGGGCAUGCGUCCCAUUAGCUAGUUGGUGAGGUAACGGCUCACCAAUGCGACGAUGGGUAGGGGGCCUGAGAGGGUGGUCCCCCACACUGGUACUGAGACACGGACCAGACUCCUACGGGAGGCAGCAGUGAGGAAUAUUGGUCAAUGGAGGCAACUCUGAACCAGCCAUGCCGCGUGAAGGAUGACGGCCCUAUGGGUUGUAAACUUCUUUUGAAUAGGAAGAAACUUAUCUACGUGUAGAUAACUGACGGUACUAUUAGAAUAAGGAUCGGCUAACUCCGUGCCAGCAGGCGCGGUAAUACGGAGGAUCCAAGCGUUAUCCGGAUUCAUUGGGUUUAAAGGGUCCGUAAGCGAGUCUUUAAGUCAGUGGUGAAAGCCGACAGCUCAACUGUCGAACUGACAUUGAUACUUGGAGACCUGAGUUCCAAUGAAGUAAGCGGAAUGAGUCAUGUGCGGGGGAAUGCGUAGAUUUACUCCGAAACCGAUGGGAAGGGGGUACAACAUUACUGCGC